CAAUAGCGUAUAUUAAAGUUGUUGCAGUUAAAAAGCUCGUAGUUGGAUUUCUGAAAUGAAUAUCCGGUCCGCUCGUCUCUGAUGAGUGCGUACUUAUGGAUAUUGGAUUCAUUUUUUGUGAGGACAUUUAUCUGUCAUUAAGUUGAUGGAUUUAUAGACUUGCAUCGUUUACUGUGAAAAAAUUAGAGUGUUUAAAGCAGGCGUUCGCCCAUUUGAAUACAUUAGCAUGGAAUAAUAAGAUAUGACUUUGGUGGUCUAUUUUGUUGGUUUGCACACCAGAGUAAUGAUUAAUAGGGACAGUUGGGGGUAUUCAUAUUUCAACGUCAGAGGUGAAAUUCUUAGAUCGUUGAAAGAUGACCUUAGGCGAAAGCAUUUACCAUGGAUGUUUUCAUUA
RNAcentral lists this ribosomal RNA (394 nucleotides) under uncultured eukaryote. RNAcentral's name for it is "partial 18S ribosomal RNA". It matches the Rfam family "Eukaryotic small subunit ribosomal RNA", at positions 592 to 975 of the family's 1831-position model. The record is from RNAcentral.